Molecule: long non-coding RNA, 392 nt
Filed under: Lynx canadensis (Canada lynx)
Lineage: Eukaryota; Metazoa; Chordata; Mammalia; Carnivora; Felidae
Description: lncRNA (ENSLCNG00005018036.1)
Source: RNAcentral
UAAUACUAUUUUUUCCCCUUCUUUCUGAGCUCUUCAUGGUCAACUCUGUGAAAAGGAGACCUGGAAAAGAGUCUUCUUGUUGGGGACCCUGGCCUGAGUUGGAGAAUCCUGGGAAGGAUCUACAAUCUACAACCUGGUGUAGAGAAAUUGACGAUCCAAGAUGGACAAGCAAACCAAAUUAAAUACUUUGAAAACACAAGUAAAAGUUUGAGGGCAUCAAAGGGCGUGAUGACCAUAAAGGGCCCUGGAACUUGAACUUGCGCACACACCCAUUCGCUCAAUCGGCAGACGCCGUCCCACAAUCGGACUUCCUGCACUUCAGGAGCAAACACAGUUGAGCUAUUUUGUUUACAAAAAAUUCCAUGGAACGCUCUGCUAGAGCCCUGUGCUUC